AUUGACAAACAUCAUAUGUGUGAUUCACGGCGCAAUUCAAACGGGAUCAAAAAAAUAUUUGUCUCUCACCGUUGACUACCGUUCAUAUUUUUUUCCAAAAUAAGGUCCCAUGGUGGUCCAGCGGAAAGGCCGGGACUUCGCCUCUAUGUGAGCUCUGUGAAGAUAGUGAGUCAUCGGUUUCCGUACCUUGUAAUUUAGAUAUACUUAAUUUGGAGUUCAUUAUGCUUUAUCCCAGAUAGAUAUUGCCAACUAAAAUUGCACAAAAAAGAAUCAGCCAGAUUGUUGCAUAUGUUUAUGUUUCAUCCAUAUAUUCCUUGAGUGCAGCUGAUUUAUCAGCCACACCCAGGCCAGAUAUGCAAAACCUACUUUUACUAUAUAGUCCAUGUUCUGUCACCCAACCCAAGUAGGAACAUAUAUAUGUUAUCAUAAUAGAUUCACCGGAGUUUGUAUAAGUAUUGAGUAUUGAAUAAAGAAGCAAGUGUUCAUUCAUACGUAUUCAGGCCCACAUUAUGUUUUGUGCACCAUCUUUCACAGUAGUAAAACCCUUCUGUCUAACUCGCCAAUAUAUUCUCCACACCUCGCCAAGACCGGCUGCAUGUGCUCUAUGCCCAACAGAUCCGCCAGCUCAAUCUGGCACACAUCUGACCAAAUGUAGCACUGUUUUUCUGUGUUUUUAGUUUUCUGAAACAGCUAUUUUCUAAAAUUCUCCAACCCCAUACAUGCCAUCAAAUGUAGCCUGUAUCAUUCUCUCACUAAGAGUCUACAGCCAUGCUAGCAACUCUGUGAAGCUAUACUUAUACACAGUGGUGCUUUGAGCUAAAUGCUAACGUCAGUUUUAACGUAAAGUCUUACACUGGAGUUCAUUAUAUUUUAGUGACAAAUUCCAGAUAUAUCUCACUCAUUACAUUAUACUAAUCAGUCAGAUUGUUUUAUGUUUUAUCAACAUAUUCCUUGAGUCCAGCCAGGUCUGCUGAUUUAGGCCACACCCAUUCCCACCUGGCUGGAGGGGGCGUGUCUGGGCCUGUGUUUGAUUGACAGCAGCUGGCACUGGCAGGAAAUCAGUGAGGACCUCAACAGCACCAACCAGACUGAAGUGAUAUUUACAGCUGCCAGCAAUCAUGUCACAAGAUUUCACAGACCUGCUUCUUUAAAAUGCCACCAAUUCAUCCCUCGGUGCUUCACCUUCAACACAACAUUCCUGAAGCCGAGGAGUGGAGAUGGAGAGGGUAAUGAGAGAGAAGAAAGGGGAAAGGUGUAGGUGUGGAGGAGAAGAAAGGAGAAGGAGAGGAGGGGAGGAAGACAUGCGUGGGAGUCCUGUGGCAGGUGUUUGAAGACGCUGAAAGCAGAUGAUGAGAGGAAGCUGUCACAUUUCCCCAACGAGGUUCCCCGGCCUUCCUUCCUUCCCCUUCCCUGUCUCAUUUAGUGUGUCCACGCACACCUCCCCACCCAUUCUUCUCCCCCACCGUCCCCCUGCCUCCGCCUGCGGUGUUCAGCCAGAGUGACGCCUCAGCACUGCAGUGUAAUCUCUGGCCCUAGAGCUGCCUCACAUGAGCCAACCAAUUGGACAUAGCGCUCAGAGCAAGAGCAAGGAAUGGCCCUCCCCCGGCUGAUUUUUCUACUAAACAAAGCCCCCUCUCCAUUAGCCACAGAGACCCCCCCUCCUCCUCCUCUGCCUGUGGCGCUCAGCGUGCUCGUUACAAACUACCAGCGAAUACCUGCUAGUGCAGAUUUUCCAGGUGUUGCCCUGAACAUGCAUCACAGACCGGAGGGGGGGGGAGGAAACUGGAGCAUCAUUGAUCAUUACUAUCUGGUUUAUUACAUUAAUCACAUGCAUUGUAUGGUCAAGUAAAACAAAGCAAAAUAUAAUGAAUAAAAGUUCAUUCUUUAGCUUUGGUAACAAUAUAUGCUACUAAAUAUCGACAAAUUAAGAUUGUAAGAUGUGUUUGAAAGCUCUAAAAGCUAGUAAGUGGACCUUCGAGCAUGGAUUAUUCAGCUGCGUAUGUAUGUGUUUUCUCUUCUCG
Long non-coding RNA from Sebastes umbrosus (honeycomb rockfish), 2021 nucleotides. RefSeq lists it as uncharacterized. The record is from RefSeq and is a predicted model, not a curated record. The transcript is spliced from 3 exons. NCBI's taxonomy places the organism in Eukaryota, Metazoa, Chordata, Actinopteri, Perciformes, Sebastidae.